Molecule: long non-coding RNA, 2261 nt
Organism: Corapipo altera (White-ruffed manakin)
Lineage: Eukaryota; Metazoa; Chordata; Aves; Passeriformes; Pipridae
Exons: 4
Source: RefSeq, a predicted model, not a curated record
UGGCAGCGGAGCGAGGGAAGCCCCUGACAGCCGCCCAUUAGGGGUGGUCUCGUGGCGGGCGGAGCGUCCGCCCGCUCACCUGUGGAGAAGGCGGCUGGUUAAAGCUUAACCCGAGCGGGCUGAGCAGGCGUUUUAGGACAGUCGUCGCAGCUCGCCUGACUCGUGUUGCAGGGAGUGCUCAGGGUCUGGAAGCGGCCGCUGCCCGACGAGGCAGGCUCGGUGCUGCGGCUGCUGUGGAGAGUCCUCGGCCUCCUCCCCAUGUCCGGCGUGUCUCCAAACGAGUCAGGAGCCUGGGCAGCGCCGGGGCAGCGCCGGGGCUGGCACCGGCCCCUGCACAGCAGCCGUGCCCCAGCGGCCCUGUCACCACCUGCUCGAGAGAGGCCCACAGCCCUCCCUGCCUUGUUGGCCUUUGCCGAAAUUGAAGUGUCUCUUGGCUCCAAGCCACGUGAAAGCUUUGAAGCAUGUGGGUUAUGGGCACUGGGUUUGGCCACCCCUUUAGCUGACAGUGUAAGAAACAGCCCUCGGUUCAGCACCGAAAGCUGUUCCUCUUACACCAGUCAGAUCACGUCCAGUGCUCACACCGGUGUGUGGUGUAUAUAAAACCUCGCGGAAAUUAAGAGGUCCUUCUACUGAGAGUCGUAAAAGGAACUCUGCUUAAUUCUGGAUCAGAUGACUGAUAAAAAUACAAAUGAGUAAGAUCUGCGAUUUUUCUAAAGGAGUAUGGACAGAAUCUUUAAAGAUUCAGUGGUGCUCAAUAUGUCAAAACACUUGAGCAGCUGUAAGAUCAGAACUCAAAGGCCGAGCAAGGAUGCAGCCACCUAGGAGGCUGAUUAAGGCUUUCUAGGUUUGAUUGAGGAGGGAACAGAACAAGGACACCUGAGAAAGAUGCUGAUUUCAGCCUGUUUAAACUGUUUCAUUGAUGUAAGUCCUCUGUUUCUGCAAGUACAUGAAACACUGGUCCAAAGAAAGAUUUUCAUCCAUACCCUAUUUUGAAAGGUCAGGUAGCAACAGCAAUGAACACAUGACAGCCAAAAAAUUAAAAGGCAACACAGGUACCUGUUUGAAAGUACUCUUUUCAUCAUUUCAACACUCACCUUCUCCUAAUUUUCUCCAUCUCCUUAUGACGCUGGGUGAACUUUGUCUCACAAAAAGAUAAGAAAAAGAUUAUGCACCAAAUAAUUCAGCUGACUCCCGAUUCUGACACUCUGCAAGGAAAGUGGUAUGUAGAUGCUAUCUUUACAGGGUGAACUUUACCUUGGCUUUCACCACCCAAUUUCAAAUAAAAUAUAUUUAUAACAUUUCUGUUAAUGUUGCCCUUUUCAGCUUGUUGCAUUUUUUUAUAUCUUUGAACUUGUUACAGUUUCCUAGAAUUUAUAGUUCCAGAAUAAUUUAGAUCAUUAGGAAAACUAAAUUAUUAGUGUUACUUUAAGGCAUCCUUAUCAAUGAGAAACACAGCUCAACGCUGAACUGUCAUAUCCAGCUUAACAGCAGUAGUGUACAUCAAAAGUUAGCCUGCUCUAUGUUAUAAAAAGUUUUCGAGGGAGUAAGAAGUCACAGUUCCUUGGGAUAUUUAUAGUAUUUAAGAAUGCUUUUAAGUAACUUGUAAUGGCAGAUGCCACAGGGUACUCCAUCAUAAGUGGUUUUCCUAUUCAUAACAAGUAAUGCAUAUUAUGGCGUGUUUCAAGCCAGGCCCACAGUAAACUUUGUAGAAAAAAUAAAUUCCAUUUGGAUCUUGUUAAUGCCAUGUUGUGUUUUGAUUUUUGUUUUGAAUACAGCUCUUAAGUGGAAUUUUUAGCCCUGAAUUUGAUAGUAUGUACUUCAUGAUGGACUUCAUUGGAUUACAUUUAAAGCUCCAACACAAGUAUCAAUGGCACAAGCUGAAUGGUGUUACUGUGGGGUAAAAAAUUGACUUGUUACAACAGAACUAACCUCUGAAUGGCUUGGGUGAGAGGCCUGCAUAGUGAGAGUCCUGCUCUUCCAAAUGCUGGCUCCUUUCUCCCUUCCACAGACUAUCUCUUCCUACCUCUACUACACAGCCUCUCACCAGGAGUGCAUUCUCUUCACUCAGGGUAUGUAGUUGUGGAUUGCUGCCCCUGCAAACAUCAAGAUGGCUACAGCACAUCCUGGCUUGGAUUAGAGGAGCAAAAGGGACUUGGAGGGCCAUUGGGAACUCAGAAGGACUGGGAUAUCAGUUCUGGAAUCUAAACAGGCUCCAGUCACUGCUCCAGAAAGGUCCCAGACAUGGAGCUAACAGUUGUCAA